UAGAGUUGAUCAUGGCUCAGAUUGAACGCUGGCGGCAGGCCUAACACAUGCAAGUCGAGCGGUAGAGAGAAGCUUGCUUCUCUUGAGAGCGGCGGACGGGUGAGUAAUGCCUAGGAAUCUGCCUGGUAGUGGGGGAUAACGUUCGGAAACGGACGCUAAUACCGCAUACGUCCUACGGGAGAAAGCAGGGGACCUUCGGGCCUUGCGCUAUCAGAUGAGCCUAGGUCGGAUUAGCUAGUUGGUGGGGUAAUGGCUCACCAAGGCGACGAUCCGUAACUGGUCUGAGAGGAUGAUCAGUCACACUGGAACUGAGACACGGUCCAGACUCCUACGGGAGGCAGCAGUGGGGAAUAUUGGACAAUGGGCGAAAGCCUGAUCCAGCCAUGCCGCGUGUGUGAAGAAGGUCUUCGGAUUGUAAAGCACUUUAAGUUGGGAGGAAGGGCAGUUGCCUAAUACGUAACUGUUUUGACGUUACCGACAGAAUAAGCACCGGCUAACUCUGUGCCAGCAGCCGCGGUAAUACAGAGGGUGCAAGCGUUAAUCGGAAUUACUGGGCGUAAAGCGCGCGUAGGUGGUUCGUUAAGUUGGAUGUGAAAUCCCCGGGCUCAACCUGGGAACUGCAUUCAAAACUGACGAGCUAGAGUAUGGUAGAGGGUGGUGGAAUUUCCUGUGUAGCGGUGAAAUGCGUAGAUAUAGGAAGGAACACCAGUGGCGAAGGCGACCACCUGGACUGAUACUGACACUGAGGUGCGAAAGCGUGGGGAGCAAAC
This 770-nucleotide ribosomal RNA is filed under the name uncultured bacterium. RNAcentral describes it as "bacterial SSU rRNA". It matches the Rfam family "Bacterial small subunit ribosomal RNA", at positions 1 to 773 of the family's 1533-position model. The record is from RNAcentral.